GACGAACGCUGGCGGCGUGCUUAACACAUGCAAGUCGAACGAUGAAGCCGGAGCUUGCUCUGGUGAAUUAGUGGCGAACGGGUGAGUAACACGUUAGUAACCUGCCCUUGACUCUGGGAUAACUGCUAGAAAUGGUAGCUAAUACCGGAUACGACCCUCGAAGGCAUCUUCAGGGGGUGGAAAGAAUUUCGGUCAAGGAUGGACUCGCGGCCUAUCAGCUAGUUGGUGAGGUAAUGGCUCACCAAGGCGACGACGGGUAGCCGGCCUGAGAGGGUGACCGGCCACACUGGGACUGAGACACGGCCCAGACUCCUACGGGAGGCAGCAGUGGGGAAUAUUGCACAAUGGGCGCAAGCCUGAUGCAGCAACGCCGCGUGAGGGAUGACGGCCUGCGGGUUGUAAACCUCUUUUAGUAGGGAAGAAGCGAAAGUGACGGUACCUGCAGAAAAAGCACCGGCUAACUACGUGCCAGCCGCCGCAGUAA
This 484-nucleotide ribosomal RNA is filed under the name uncultured bacterium. Its description in RNAcentral is "partial 16S ribosomal RNA". It matches the Rfam family "Bacterial small subunit ribosomal RNA", at positions 28 to 523 of the family's 1533-position model. The record is from RNAcentral.